UAAUGUCUGGGAAACUGCCUGAUGGAGGGGGAUAACUGCUGGAAACGGUAGCUAAUACCGCAUAACGUCGCAAGACCAAAGUGGGGGACCUUCGGGCCUCAUGCCAUCAGAUGUGCCCAGAUGGGAUUAGCUAGUAGGUGGGGUAACGGCUCACCUAGGCGACGAUCCCUAGCUGGUCUGAGAGGAUGACCAGCCACACUGGAACUGAGACACGGUCCAG
This 220-nucleotide ribosomal RNA is filed under the name uncultured bacterium. RNAcentral describes it as "partial 16S ribosomal RNA". It matches the Rfam family "Bacterial small subunit ribosomal RNA", at positions 111 to 334 of the family's 1533-position model. The record is from RNAcentral.